Molecule: ribosomal RNA, 253 nt
Filed under: uncultured bacterium
Lineage: Bacteria
Description: partial 16S ribosomal RNA
Rfam family: Bacterial small subunit ribosomal RNA
Source: RNAcentral
UACGGAGGGUGCAAGCGUUAUCCGGAUUCACUGGGUUUAAAGGGUGCGUAGGUGGGCAGGUAAGUCAGUGGUGAAAUCUCCGGGCUUAACCCGGAAACUGCCAUUGAUACUAUCUGUCUUGAAUACCGUGGAGGUGAGCGGAAUAUGUCAUGUAGCGGUGAAAUGCUUUGAUAUGACAUAGAACACCAAUUGCGAAGGCAGCUCACUACACGAAUAUUGACACUGAGGCACGAAAGCGUGGGGAUCAAACAGG